RNAcentral lists this ribosomal RNA (301 nucleotides) under uncultured bacterium. Its description in RNAcentral is "partial 16S ribosomal RNA". It matches the Rfam family "Bacterial small subunit ribosomal RNA", at positions 509 to 807 of the family's 1533-position model. The record is from RNAcentral.
CAGUAGCCGCGGGAAUACGAAGGGGGCUAGCGUUGCUCGGAAUUACUGGGCGUAAAGGGCGCGUAGGCGGACAGUUCAGUCGGGGGUGAAAGCCCGGGGCUCAACCUCGGAAUUGCCUUCGAUACUGGCUGUCUUGAGUAUGAGAGAGGUGUGUGGAACUCCGAGUGUAGAGGUGAAAUUCGUAGAUAUUCGGAAGAACACCAGUGGCGAAGGCGACACACUGGCUCAUUACUGACGCUGAGGCGCGAAAGCGUGGGGAGCAAACAGGAUUAGAUACCCCCGUAGUCCCUGUCUCUUAUAC